GAUGAACGCUGGCGGCGUGCCUAAUACAUGCAAGUCGAGCGAACAGACGAGGAGCUUGCUCCUCUGACGUUAGCGGCGGACGGGUGAGUAACACGUGGAUAACCUACCUAUAAGACUGGGAUAACUUCGGGAAACCGGAGCUAAUACCGGAUAAUAUAUUGAACCGCAUGGUUCAAUAGUGAAAGACGGUUUUGCUGUCACUUAUAGAUGGAUCCGCGCCGCAUUAGCUAGUUGGUAAGGUAACGGCUUACCAAGGCAACGAUGCGUAGCCGACCUGAGAGGGUGAUCGGCCACACAGGAACUGAGACACGGUCCAGACUCCGACGGGAGGCAGCAGUAGGGAAUCUUCCGCGAUGGGCGAAAGCCUGGCGGAGCAACGCCGCGGGGGUGAAGAAGGUCUUCGGGUCGUAAAACUCUGUUAUUAGGGAAGAACAAAUGUGUAAGUAACUAUGCACGUCUUGACGGUACAUAAGCAGAAAGCCACGGCUAACUAC
Molecule: ribosomal RNA, 494 nt
Filed under: uncultured bacterium
Lineage: Bacteria
Description: partial 16S ribosomal RNA
Rfam family: Bacterial small subunit ribosomal RNA
Source: RNAcentral